GAAGUUAAGCGUGCUUGGGCGAGAGUAGUACUAGGAUGGGUGACCUCCUGGGAAGUCCUCGUGUUGCAUUCC
Triticum aestivum (bread wheat) is the source of this 72-nucleotide non-coding RNA. The record is from Rfam. NCBI's taxonomy places the organism in Eukaryota, Viridiplantae, Streptophyta, Magnoliopsida, Poales, Poaceae.